RNAcentral lists this ribosomal RNA (468 nucleotides) under uncultured Borrelia sp. Its description in RNAcentral is "bacterial SSU rRNA". It matches the Rfam family "Bacterial small subunit ribosomal RNA", at positions 90 to 538 of the family's 1533-position model. Lineage: Bacteria; Pseudomonadati; Spirochaetota; Spirochaetia; Spirochaetales; Borreliaceae. The record is from RNAcentral.
AUUCAGUCGGCAACGGGUGAGUAACGCGUGGGUGAUCUACCUAUGAGAUGGGGAUAACUAUUAGAAAUAGUAGCUAAUACCGAAUAAGGUCAGUUAAUUUGUUAAUUGAUGAAAGGAAGCCUUUAAAGCUUCGCUUGUAGAUGAGUCUGCGUCUUAUUAGCUAGUUGGUAGGGUAAAUGCCUACCAAGGCAAUGAUAAGUAACCGGCCUGAGAGGGUGAACGGUCACACUGGAGCUGAGAUACGGUCCAGACUCCUACGGGAGGCAGCAGCUAAGAAUCUUCCGCAAUGGGCAAAAGCCUGACGGAGCGACACUGCGUGAAUGAAGAAGGUCGAAAGAUUGUAAAAUUCUUUUAUAAAUGAGGAAUAAGCUUUGUAGGAAAUGACAAAGCGAUGACGUUAAUUUAUGAAUAAGCCCCGGCUAAUUACGUGCCAGCAGCCGCGGUAAUACGUAAGGGGAGGGGGGUUUU